Molecule: long non-coding RNA, 201 nt
Filed under: Mytilus galloprovincialis (Mediterranean mussel)
Lineage: Eukaryota; Metazoa; Mollusca; Bivalvia; Mytilida; Mytilidae
Source: RNAcentral
GCCAGUUGUAAACUUUCUAUUUCUAUGUGGCAUAUGAAGUACAUAUAUUAUCUCCAGAUUGUUGAUUUUUCAUCUUUUGCAACUCUUUUCUAUGACUGUGGCUGAUGUAAUACUUUGAAAAUUUUACUCACGCCAUCACGAAUUAGUUGACCGUUAUAGAUUUUCUGUUUCAUAGAAAACGACGGAUAUGUUCUGUCGUCU